RNAcentral lists this ribosomal RNA (222 nucleotides) under uncultured bacterium. RNAcentral's name for it is "partial 16S ribosomal RNA". It matches the Rfam family "Bacterial small subunit ribosomal RNA", at positions 524 to 742 of the family's 1533-position model. The record is from RNAcentral.
UACGAAGGGGGCUAGCGUUGUUCGGAAUCACUGGGCGUAAAGCGCACGUAGGCGGAUCUUUAAGUCAGGGGUGAAAUCCCGAGGCUCAACCUCGGAACUGCCUUUGAUACUGGGGGAUCUCGGAAGUCCGGGAGAGGUGAGUGGAACUGCGAGUGUAGAGGUGAAAUUCGUAGAUAUCGCAAGAACACCAGUGGCGGAAGGCGGCUCACUGGGUCAUUACUG